AACGAACGCUGGCGGCAGGCCUCAAACAUGCAAGUCUAGGGGGUGCAGCAAUGCAUCACCGGCGGACGGGUGCGUAACGCGUGGGAAUAUACCUUUUGGUUCGGAACAACUGCGGGAAACUGCAGCUAAUACCGAAUGUGCCCUAACGGGGAAAGAUUUAUCGCCAAAGGAUUAGCCCGCGUAGGAUUAGCUAGUUGGUGAGGUAAUGGCUCACCAAGGCUCCGAUCCUUAGCUGCUGAGAGGAAGAUCAGCCACACUGGGACUGAGACACGGCCCAGACUCCUACGGGAGGCAGCAGUUGGGAAUCUUGGACAAUGGGGGAAACCCUGAUCCAGCCAUGCCGCGUGAGUGAUGAAGGCC
This 360-nucleotide ribosomal RNA is filed under the name uncultured bacterium. RNAcentral's name for it is "bacterial SSU rRNA". It matches the Rfam family "Bacterial small subunit ribosomal RNA", at positions 29 to 416 of the family's 1533-position model. The record is from RNAcentral.